UCUCCGUUGGUGAACCAGCGGAGGGAUCAUUACUGAGUUACCGCUCUACAACCCUUUGUGAACAUACCUAACUGUUGCUUCGGCGGGCAGAGGUCCCUCGCGGAUCUCUCCCGGCAACGCCCUCACGGGCGGUGCGCCCGCCGGAGGAUACCAAACUCUAUUUUAACGACGUUUCUUCUGAGUGGCACAAGCAAAUAAUUAAAACUUUUAACAACGGAUCUCUUGGUUCUG
This 231-nucleotide unclassified non-coding RNA is filed under the name plant metagenome. RNAcentral describes it as "partial contains small subunit ribosomal RNA, internal transcribed spacer 1, and 5.8S ribosomal RNA". The record is from RNAcentral.